This 332-nucleotide ribosomal RNA is filed under the name uncultured bacterium. Its description in RNAcentral is "bacterial SSU rRNA". It matches the Rfam family "Bacterial small subunit ribosomal RNA", at positions 28 to 342 of the family's 1533-position model. The record is from RNAcentral.
GAUGAACGCUGGCGGCGUGCCUAACACAUGCAAGUCGAACGAGGUAUUUUGAUUGAAGUUUUCGGAUGGAUUUCAAGAUACCGAGUGGCGGACGGGUGAGUAACGCGUGGGUAACCUGCCUCAUACAGGGGGAUAACGGUUAGAAAUGACUGCUAAUACCGCAUAAGCGCACAGUACCGCAUGGUACGGUGUGAAAAAACUCCGGUGGUAUGAGAUGGACCCGCGUCUGAUUAGCUAGUUGGUGGGGUAACGGCCCACCAAGGCGACGAUCAGUAGCCGACCUGAGAGGGUGACCGGCCACAUUGGGACUGAGACACGGCCCAGACUCCUAC